AUUGCAGCACCAAAGGGAGUUUGUAAAAACAAAUAUGGGCAAGAUAGAGAAAAAGAGUGAAAAGUCAUUUUACUGAAUGUUACAACUUCAUCAGCCAUGGAAUUCAUAUAAAAAAGCUACAAUCAUCUAAUUUCAGAACCAAACUUUUUGGCUUUUGAUCAAGAUUUAAAUGGUAGCUGGUGCACAAAGCAUCCCGCAUUCACGCCGCGUCCGGUAAAUGGCCGCACCCCUUGGGGUGCGAUGUAGGCAAUCUACCCUAAUGCAAGCAUCAGUGACUGAUUUCUCGGUUCAAACCCGUGACCUAUAGAUCAUACGAAGAUAACUUUUGAUCAAGAUUGAGUAAAUUUUAGUCUAAUCCUAGUAAACAUAAAUUUCAUAGAAUGGACUGUUUGCUCUUCCAUUCAUGUUCCUGAAUCUAAAACAAGAUCCUGCCGCCUUAGAUGAAAAGCAUCAUCCAAAAGAAUAAGAUUCCUGCAAAAAUAAAACAGAAAACAAAAAAGGAUUUAAGUUCUAUACUGGACAAUUAAAAGAUAACUACAUGUAACUAUUAACCGUUCAAAGAAAAUGAGAUUACCUGCUAGAACAGUUUAAAAUACAGUACAUUGAUCAAUGUAUUCAAGUUAAAUUCAAAAGAAAAGGAAAUUGUUCAUCUCUUGAAAUGUGUUCAUGGAAUUUGGUAGCAGACACAUAUUAUGCUACAUGUGAGUAUUAGGGAGUGUUGAUUUCUUCCAUAUUUUUC
This 739-nucleotide long non-coding RNA is filed under the name Nicotiana tabacum (common tobacco). RNAcentral's name for it is "long non-coding RNA (NTAB_LNC015181)". Lineage: Eukaryota; Viridiplantae; Streptophyta; Magnoliopsida; Solanales; Solanaceae. The record is from RNAcentral.